This is a non-coding RNA of Lactuca sativa (garden lettuce), 1420 nucleotides long. Lineage: Eukaryota; Viridiplantae; Streptophyta; Magnoliopsida; Asterales; Asteraceae. The record is from RefSeq and is a predicted model, not a curated record.
ACCCUACCUCUCUAGGUUCUCUGGCGGCAACUCUCUCUCUCUCUCUCAUCUGAUCGGUUCUCUUAUCUGAUCGUCUUCAUCAUCCUAUUAUCUUCCAAAUCAAAUCACAUCCAUACAGAAAACUAAAAGAUAAUACAUAAUUGAUGAUUCGAUUCCUGCAACUCUCUCUAACACAUACAUAAUUGAUGAUUGUUUACAAAGCCUAAGAAAUUAGGACUGAGUUAACUCGUGUGGUAGUAGAACACGAUGCUUGGUGGUUUUCGUCGCCGGAGAACAUAACCCAUAGACCUGAUCUUUGCUUCCAUCUCUCCUUACUGUUGAAUCACCCAACCUGGAAUCUACUAUCUAAUUCCAAAUCUGUUCUAUAUAUAGAUAAGGCUUUCAAUUAACCCGACAAAGUUCACCAGAAAAAGUGCUACAUAGAUAAAGUUUAAUCGGACCUCCUGAAGGGGAAGGGGGUUUCAUCAUAGGUGUGUUUAUGAAAAGGGCAGUAGGGUAGAGUACGGUGAACAUGCGAUAUCCGAUUGUUAGAUUCAAUCAUCGAGGUUUCGUGAUUGCAGGUUUCAAGCUCCAAUAUGUGUAUCCAUUGGUUCGCGAAGGAGAGAGGGAGUGAAGACGAUGAGAAGUAACAUACUUACCGGUGAUGAGGGACAACGAGAAAUUUGGGCGGCGACCAUUAGGGCUUCUUGACGAGAAUGAAGGCGAUGAAGCUGACGUCUUUUUGAUUAGCGCGAAAGAGAGAAAGAAAUGUAGGGUGAGGUACAGAGGUAGUGAGGUGGGUUGCUGUAAUGUCGUAGGCCCAUUUUUUUUUUUUUUUAAAUUAAAAAACAAUUAAAAUAAAUAAAGAAAAUAUAAAAAAGAAAUAAUAAGAUAAAAUAGUCUUUUCAAAUUUCUAAGGACCAAAACCAAAGAAAAUUCUUGAGUUUGGACCUUUCAUGCAAGUUGAAAACUUUUUGAACCGUAUCCACAUUUUUUUGCAAACCAUAAGGACCAAUUUUGCAAUUUUGUCGAUAGAAAAUGAUUAACGACUUAUGUUACUAAUUAAACUUUUUAGGGAGACCUUUAUUUAAAUAAUGAAAUAGUUUAUUAAGUUUUGUAUAUCAUGACGAUGUGGGAUCAAAGUAGCUUUAUCAUGUGCAUUUUUGUGUCAUGUUUUUAUCCUACCUUACUUAAGAAACAAAGUUGAAACGAAAACAAACAAGUAUAAGUAAAGAGCCUGACACAUUUUUUAUCCCACUACACAUUUUUUAUCCAACUACAAUGUUCAACUUAAUUGUUUUGAACAAUGUUUAGAUGUUCAUUGUAAUAAAAAAAAAGCUAUAUACGUGUAUGGUGAUGAUUGAAAGAAGUAUACAUGUAUCACAACACAUUAAUAUAAUCAUUUAAAACUUUGAGUGUUUAACUAUUUUUUAUAAUAACU